AUUGAACGCUGGCGGCAUGCCUAACACAUGCAAGUCGAACGGUUUAUGGAGCUUGCUUCAUAGAUAGUGGCGGACGGGUGAGUAAAAUGUAGGAAUCUGCCUUGAGGAGGGGGAUAACUUGGGGAAACUCAAGCUAAUACCGCGUAAGUCGGAGACGAGAAAGCAGGGGACCGAAAGGCCUUGCGCCUUAAGAUGAGCCUACAUCGGACUAGCUAGUUGGUGGGGUAAAGGCCUACCAAGGCGAUGAUCCGUAGCUGGUCUGAGAGGAUGACCAGCCACACUGGGACUGAGACACGGCCCAGACUCCUACGGGAGGCAGCAGUGGGGAAUAUUGGACAAUGGGGGAAACCCUGAUCCAGCAAUGCCGCGUGUGUGAAGAAGGCCUUCGGGUUGUAAAGCACUUUCAGUGGGGAAGAAGGAUGUAUGGUUAAUACCCAUGCAUUUUGACGUUAACCACAGAAGAAGCACCGGCUAACUCUGUGCCAGCAGCCGCCGUAA
This 498-nucleotide ribosomal RNA is filed under the name uncultured bacterium. Its description in RNAcentral is "partial 16S ribosomal RNA". It matches the Rfam family "Bacterial small subunit ribosomal RNA", at positions 30 to 523 of the family's 1533-position model. The record is from RNAcentral.